This 433-nucleotide ribosomal RNA is filed under the name uncultured bacterium. RNAcentral describes it as "partial 16S ribosomal RNA". It matches the Rfam family "Bacterial small subunit ribosomal RNA", at positions 29 to 507 of the family's 1533-position model. The record is from RNAcentral.
AACGAACGCUGGCGGCAUGCCUAACACAUGCAAGUCGAACGAGACCUUCGGGUCUAGUGGCGCACGGGUGCGUAACGCGUGGGAACCUGCCCUUAGGUUCGGAAUAACUCCCCGAAAGGUGUGCUAAUACCGGAUAAUGUCUUCGGACCAAAGAUUUAUCGCCUUUGGAUGGGCCCGCGUUGGAUUAGCUAGUUGGUAGGGUAAAAGCCUACCAAGGCGACGAUCCAUAGCUGGUCUGAGAGGAUGAUCAGCCACACUGGGACUGAGACACGGCCCAGACUCCUACGGGAGGCAGCAGUGGGGAAUAUUGGACAAUGGGCGAAAGCCUGAUCCAGCAAUGCCGCGUGAGUGAUGAAGGCCUUAGGGUUGUAAAGCUCUUUUACCCGGGAUGAUAAUGACAGUACCGGGAGAAUAAGCUCCGGCUAACUCCGUG